Molecule: ribosomal RNA, 468 nt
Filed under: uncultured bacterium
Lineage: Bacteria
Description: partial 16S ribosomal RNA
Rfam family: Bacterial small subunit ribosomal RNA
Source: RNAcentral
GACGAACGCUGGCGGCGUGCUUAACACAUGCAAGUCGAACGGAAAGGCCCUGCUUUCGUGGGGUUCUCGAUUGGCGAACGGGUGAGUAACACGUGAGUAACCUGCCCUUAACUUUGGGAUAACUUCAGGAAACUGGGGCUAAUACCGGAUAGGAGCUCCUGCUGCAUGGUGGGGGUUGGAAAGUUUCGGCGGUUGGGGAUGGACUCGCGGCUUAUCAGAUUGUUGGUGGGGUAGUGGCUUACCAAGGCUUUGACGGGUAGCCGGCAUGAGAGGGUGACCGGCCACAUUGGGACUGAGAGACGGCCCAGACUCCUACGGGAGGCAGCAGUGGGGAAUAUUGCACAAUGGGCGGAAGCCUGAUGCAGAAACGCCGCGUGCGGGAUGACGGCCUUCGGGUUGUAAACCGCUUUCGCCUGUGACGAAGCGUGAGUGACGGUAAUGGGUAAAGAAGCACCGGCUAACUACGUG